Molecule: long non-coding RNA, 1357 nt
Organism: Scylla paramamosain (green mud crab)
Lineage: Eukaryota; Metazoa; Arthropoda; Malacostraca; Decapoda; Portunidae
Exons: 2
Source: RefSeq, a predicted model, not a curated record
AAGUGGGCGGGAUGACUGCAGUGGGUGAGGGCGGGAAGGCGGGCGGGCGUAUUGAUUGGAGGGUUGGGGGAAAUGGGGGGUUGUUGGGGGUCUCUUGCGGUAUAGGCAGGGAGGAGGAUGAGUAGAAAGAGGAAGAGGAAGAAGAGGAGGGUGAAUGGAGGACCAGGAAGAGGAGGAGGAGGAGGAGGAGGAGGAGGAGGAGGAGGAGGAGGAACAUUGGGAUAAUGAGAAUGAAAAGCUUAUGAUUGGUUAUCCGUUGAGUGAAAGCUGUGGUGAUGACUUGUGGUGAUGACAGUUGUAGUGAUGACCGACAGGUGUGGAGAUGAUGAUGACUAUGAUGGUGACUUGUAUGGUGUUGACGUUGUUAUGACAGUUGUGGUGAUGACUUAAUGGUGAUGGUGACAAGUGUGGUGCUGACAUGUAUAGUGACAGUAUGGUGAUCACGUGGUGGUGGUGACGUGUGGUGCUGACAAGUGUAAUGGUGAUCACGUGGUGGUGAAGGUGUGACACUCAUUCAAUACAGCAAGUUUCUGAAUCCAAGGCUGGGUAAAGGAGGUGUCCGGGUCUCCUUCUGUCUCCUUCAGUCCGCCACUUUCCAAUGGUAGUGGUGAUGGUAAUGACAACAGUGACUUGGCGGUGUUGGUUCCCCUCUGCUGACAACAGUAAUGAUGGCAACGCUACCACUGCCGCCACCAGCAACAAUGACAGCAGUGACAGCCGCGACAACAACAUUGACGGCAACAUUAACGACAACAACAACUACUACUAUGACAGCGACAGGAGAUGAUGAUGAUGACGAACAACAACAACAACAACAACAACAACAAAAUGAAGAAGAAGAAGAAGAAAGUGAAAAGAAAACAAGAAGAAGAGAAAGAAAAGAAGAACAAGAAGAGAAGGAAAAAAGAAAAAAAUAGAUGAAGAUGAUGAUGAUGAUGAAGAACCAGCAAGACGAAGAUGAAGAAGAAGAGAAGGAAAAGAACAAGAUGAAGAUGAAAAGAAAAAAAAAGAAGAAACAAGAUGAAGAUAAAGAGGAAGAGAAGGAAAGCAACACGAUACAUCACCACCACCACCACCACCACCACAGUAACACCCUUCCCCUUCCCCCCUCCCUACUCAGCGCCUCCGUCAAGUAGGUUCCUCGCGUGGGUUGAGCAGUGACGUCACCUUACCUAUUGAUGGCUGCCGGUGAUGGAGGGGGGAAGGGGUGGCAGCAAAAGGAGGAGGAGGAGGAGGAAGAGAAGGAAAAGGAGAAGGAGGAGGAGGAGUAAAUAGUGGAACAUGAGAGUGGGCGGUAUAGAGAGAGAGAGAGAGAGAGAGAGAGAGAGAGAGAGAGAGAGAGAGAGAGAGAGAGAGA